UACGUAGGGUGCGAGCGUUAAUCGGAAUUACUGGGCGUAAAGCGUGCGCAGGCGGUUCGUUGUGUCGGCGGUGAAAGCCCCGGGCUCAACCUGGGAAUGGCCGUUGAAACUGGCGAACUGGAGUGUGGCAGAGGGGGGUGGAAUUCCACGUGUAGCAGUGAAAUGCGUAGAGAUGUGGAGGAACACCGAUGGCGAAGGCAGCCCCCUGGGCCAAAACUGACGCUCAGGCACGAAAGCGUGGGGAGCAUACAGG
RNAcentral lists this ribosomal RNA (253 nucleotides) under uncultured bacterium. Its description in RNAcentral is "partial 16S ribosomal RNA". It matches the Rfam family "Bacterial small subunit ribosomal RNA", at positions 524 to 776 of the family's 1533-position model. The record is from RNAcentral.